GGGGACGACUUGGCUUCGACAGGAUCAAGUAGCUUUCGACUGCAUGUCGGACUGAGCAAUUCCGUUACGCGGCUCACAAUUGCUUAAAUGCAAACAAUACAAAUUACCGCCCAGCUUACGCAGUAGCAUAAGUUUUACCCCCUCUUAGAGGACGGGCUGCUUCACCUAUGGACUCUAGAUAAGUAGGAUUCGAAGUAUAACCCCUAUGUAGAUAUAUACUAAGUCUGUCUCAGCUUAGUAUGAAAACUUGAGGCUCGUUUUGUGUAGCUUUGCAAGUUGUGUGAAGCAAGAUUAAACUUUAACAACUUCUCUAAGCAUGUAGACGUUGGGAGUAGCUUGGUUUUGGACUCCGGUUCGAUUCCGGACGUCUCCACCA
RNAcentral lists this transfer-messenger RNA (376 nucleotides) under Sulfurimonas sp. It matches the Rfam family "transfer-messenger RNA". From Rfam's summary of the family: Bacterial tmRNA, also known as 10Sa RNA or SsrA, is named for its dual tRNA and mRNA-like properties. Lineage: Bacteria; Pseudomonadati; Campylobacterota; Epsilonproteobacteria; Campylobacterales; Sulfurimonadaceae. The record is from RNAcentral.